RNAcentral lists this ribosomal RNA (406 nucleotides) under uncultured bacterium. RNAcentral's name for it is "partial 16S ribosomal RNA". It matches the Rfam family "Bacterial small subunit ribosomal RNA", at positions 30 to 526 of the family's 1533-position model. The record is from RNAcentral.
AUUGAACGCUGGCGGCAGGCCUAACACAUGCAAGUCGAACGAGUGGCGGACGGGUGAGUAAUGUCGGGGAAACUGCCUGAUGGAGGGGUAUAACUACUGGACACGGUAGCUAAUACCGCAUACCAUCAGAUGUGCCCAUAUGGGAUUAGCGAGUGGGUGGGGUAAGGGCUCACCAAGGCGACGAUCCCUAGCUGGUCUGAGAGGAUGAACAGCCACACUGGAACUGAGACACGGCCCAGACUCCUACGGGAGGCAGCAGUGGGGAAUAUUGCACAAUGGGCGCAAGCCUGAUGCAGCCAUGCCGCGUGUAUGAAGAAGGCCUUAGGGUUGUAAAGUACUUUCAGUGGGGAGGCGUUACCGGCAGAAGAAGCACCGGCUAACUCCGUGCCAGCCGCCGCGGUAAUAC